RNAcentral lists this ribosomal RNA (495 nucleotides) under uncultured bacterium. RNAcentral describes it as "partial 16S ribosomal RNA". It matches the Rfam family "Bacterial small subunit ribosomal RNA", at positions 28 to 507 of the family's 1533-position model. The record is from RNAcentral.
GACGAACGCUGGCGGCGUGCCUAAUACAUGCAAGUAGAACGCUGAAGGAGGAGCUUGCUUCUCUGGAUGAGUUGCGAACGGGUGAGUAACGCGUAGGUAACCUGCCUGGUAGCGGGGGAUAACUAUUGGAAACGAUAGCUAAUACCGCAUAAGAGUAGAUGUUGCAUGACAUUUGCUUAAAAGGUGCAAUUGCAUCACUACCAGAUGGACCUGCGUUGUAUUAGCUAGUUGGUGGGGUAACGGCUCACCAAGGCGACGAUACAUAGCCGACCUGAGAGGGUGAUAGGCCACACUGGGAAUGAGACACGGCCCAGACUCCUACGGGAGGCAGCAGUAGGGAAUCUUCGGCAAUGGACGGAAGUCUGACCGAGCAACGCCGCGUGAGUGAAGAAGGUUUUCGGAUCGUAAAGCUCUGUUGUAAGAGAAGAACGAGUGUGAGAGUGGAAAGUUCACACUGUGACGGUAUCUUACCAGAAAGGGACGGCUAACUACGUG